Lytechinus pictus (painted urchin) is the source of this 594-nucleotide long non-coding RNA. RefSeq lists it as uncharacterized. The record is from RefSeq and is a predicted model, not a curated record. Lineage: Eukaryota; Metazoa; Echinodermata; Echinoidea; Temnopleuroida; Toxopneustidae. The transcript is spliced from 4 exons.
AUUCGAAAUGAAACGAAGAAAUAAGUAGAAGCGAAGGUCCCCGGAGAGGUGAAUGAGGAUUUUACCACUAUGGACAUUUGAACCAUAUGCAGAAGAAGACGGGUCUGGAACUAGAAAGCUAGGCUCUGACUGGUCUACUACAGCAAGGAAUGUGCCAGCGGCCAAUCUGAUGAACAUGUGGCAGAAGAUUUGGCAAUGGGUGAAGAAAUACUGAGAUUGAAAUGCAACCACAGGUGGAGGCUUUACCCAAACUUUUCAGACAGACAUGAGAUACAAAGUUACCCAAGUAUAAAUGGUUGAAGGUUUAGGAGAGCCAGACAAGAAGGCAGGAAAUGUGAUGUCACUUGUAAGUUACUUCAAUAAACAUGAACAGCAGCAGGAGCAACAACAGCAUCAGCAGCCGAAACCACAACUGCAGUAAGAGAUACAACAACCACACCAACAACACCAAGAGCAGCAGCAAAAACAAUUGCAAUUCCAGCAACCACGAUGACAACAGCAGCAACACCAACAACACUAAUGAAUAUUGAAAAACUUGUACAAAAGUCAAUGAAGCCACAGUUUUCAGACAUUAUCAGACAUUAUCGAUUAAAA